CUGUGGGUCAACACUGCCAUCAUGCGGAAAAUGUUUUGUACAUCCUCGCUCAUGCACACACUGCUUCUUCCUCAGUGCUGCUUUGAGCCGUUUUUGAAGGGCUAAGGCAAGUGUGCAGAAGAGGAGGCAGAAAGAUUCAAAGGACCAGAGGGCAUGGAUGACACCAAGAAGAUAGUAUUCUCCAGACAUCAGGGGACUGACACACAUAGGAACUCAGAGACUGGCAGCAUCCACAGGGUCUGCGCAGCAUGCACAGGGGCCCCCGAAAUGUCUUCAGACAAAAGGUUGUCAACAGUUUGACCCAGAAUACAAGAAAUGGAGGCGCACUAUAGGCUCAAAUGUGAGGACAGCCGGAACUGAAACCUAAGAUUUCAACUCAAGACCACAAGACAGUCAUCCACCAGGAGUAAGCACUGGAAGUAGAAUGCUGCUGGGAGAAGAAGAAGAAACUCAA
Molecule: non-coding RNA, 454 nt
Organism: Peromyscus maniculatus bairdii (prairie deer mouse)
Lineage: Eukaryota; Metazoa; Chordata; Mammalia; Rodentia; Cricetidae
Source: RefSeq, a predicted model, not a curated record